This 538-nucleotide ribosomal RNA is filed under the name uncultured bacterium. RNAcentral describes it as "partial 16S ribosomal RNA". The record is from RNAcentral.
GUAGUUAGCCGGGGCUUUCUUACAGGGUACCGUCACUUCUUCGUCCCCUGCGACAGAGGUUUACAAUCCGAAAACCUUCUUCCCUCACGCGGCGUUGCUGGGUCAGGCUUGCGCCCAUUGCCCAAUAUUCCCCACUGCUGCCUCCCGUAGGAGUCUGGACCGUGUCUCAGUUCCAGUGUGGCCGAUCAGCCUCUCAGCUCGGCUACCCAUCGUCGGCUUGGUGGGCUGUUAUCUCACCAACUACCUAAUGGGACGCGAACCCCUCUAAAAGCGAUAAAUCUUUGACCUCUUCCCGAUGCCGGGUUGUGGUCUUAUGCGGUAUUAGCAGUUGUUUCCACCUGUUAUUCCCCACUCUUAGGCAGGUUGUUCACGCGUUACUCACCCGUGCGCCACUAGAAUUAUCAAUUCCAUCCGAAAACUUCCUUAAUAAUCCCCGUUCGACUUGCAUGUGUUAGGCACGCCGCCAGCGUUCGUCCUGAGCCACGAUCGAAACCUACUACGUACGUAGACGGGCGGUCGUCGACGGACGGACGACUAG